This 544-nucleotide ribosomal RNA is filed under the name uncultured Chloroflexota bacterium. RNAcentral's name for it is "bacterial SSU rRNA". It matches the Rfam family "Bacterial small subunit ribosomal RNA", at positions 334 to 893 of the family's 1533-position model. Lineage: Bacteria; Bacillati; Chloroflexota. The record is from RNAcentral.
UUGGCCUACGGGGGGCAGCAGUAGGGAAUAUUGGACAAUGGGCGAAAGCCUGAUCCAGCAACGCCGCGUGCACGAUGAAGGCCUUCGGGUCGUAAAGUGCUUUUCUGAGGGAAGAGAAAGGACGGUACCUCAGGAAUAAGUCUCGGCUAACUACGUGCCAGCAGCCGCGGUAAUACGUAGGAGGCAAGCGUUAUCCGGAUUUACUGGGCGUAAAGCGCGUGUAGGCGGUUCGGUAAGUUGGAUGUGAAAGCUCCCGGCUCAACUGGGAGAGGUCGUUCAAUACUGCCGGACUAGAGGACGGUAGAGGGAGGUGGAAUUCCGGGUGUAGUGGUGAAAUGCGUAGAUAUCCGGAGGAACACCAGUGGCGAAGGCGGCCUCCUGGGCCGUUCCUGACGCUCAGACGCGAAAGCAUGGGUAGCAAACGGGAUUAGAAACCCCGGUAGUCCAUGCCGUAAACGAUGCGGACUUGGUGUUGGUGGCGUAAAAACCAUCAGUGCCGCAGCUAACGCGAUAAGUCCGCCGCCUGGGGACUACGAUCGCAAGA